UGGCGGCCAUAGCGGCGACUGGAGGCGGAACGAGGAGGGCGACUUGGCGGCCCCACUGUUCGUGCUGCUGGCGCUUGUGCUGCCCGGCGUCUGCGGAGACUCCUCGACCGACGGUGGAGGACUAAUGUGCACACACCGUCGUUCCUGUCGUGGUGGGCGAUGCUGCUCUGCUGUUUCAUUCUGGUCAUUGCCCGUCAGCCUGAAGAGCGCUCUGCAGUGUCCUCGCGAGUUUGGACAAUUUCUGCAGAUUGGCUUCAAGUUCCCUGGCCUCUUAUCUGCUGACUCCAGCUGCUGUUAAAAGCAUCUAGUGAAUUGUUUAAUUCAAAUAUUGUACUUUUAAAUUCCAGAAUUUCUCUUUGAUUCUUUAUUUCUUUCCUUAAUUUUUCAUUUCUCUGCUAAGAUCCUCAUUUCUUUCACCCCGUAUAUCCACUGUUUUCUUUCAGUUCUGGAACAUAUUUAAGUAGGUUAGGAUUGGCCUUCAGACCAGCAAGGAGCAGUGGCUUUGAGAAUCAGCAGGGGACGCCCAUAGUGAUGAGAACACGAAGGGCAGGCCAGGAAUUGGGACAACAGUCUCUGGGGAGAAACUUUCCCCUUCACACGUGUCUUCCCAUCUGUGCACAGUGGCAGCAAAGAGCUUGAUUAAAGCCAGUGACACUAGAGAUCCUGCCACGAGCCUUCCCUUCCCGGUCCCCGGCAGGCUGCAGGGCAGGGGACGACCAAGUUCCCUGUUCCGUCACAAAACUUCAGGGAAUCACUUCACAAGUCCACGGCCAGUCCCCCGUUCCCUGUGUCAUGAACAGCUCUGCUGAGACAAACCUGUGGUUCCCAGGAAAUGGUGGAUGGUGAUUUCAGAUACUGUUUCCACUGGUGACCUGGAUGAUUUACUUAAUAUCUGAAAAACCACUUUAGCACUUAAAGUGCUAUGUAUGUUCCCUUGAAGCACCAGGAUCUUUUAUUUUUCUGACCAGUAAGGGGAUUGCCACCUUUGGCUCAGUGCCAUCUACACCAUGCUCAGCCAGUGAGUGCACCAACCAUCCCUAUACGGGAUCCAAACCCACGGCCUUGGCACCAUCAGCACCGCACUCUCCCGAGUGAGCCACGGGGCCAGCCCAAGCACCAGGAUCGUAAUGUCAGGAGGGCAUGCUGAUGGGCAAUAAGGAAUGAAUCGUACACUUGUUCAAGUUCACAUGUCCAUUUACACAAAAAUAUUGAGACCAAUAUCCAGUUCUGUUUAAAAGUUACAUGUUUUCUACUGUGUAAAUGUGAUCACACAGGCCACCCAACACACACACAAACAGCAUGUAAAUAUGCAAUACACAUCAGUUCCUGCUACCUUUCUUAUGGCUUUUCUGUAAGUUAGAAAACUAUAUGAAAUUCUAGUAAUUUUUUCUAAAAAGUGAAUACAAAUUAAAAACCUAAAAGACAGAUAUUUUCACCUUAUUUUCUUUAAAAAGUGAAAGAAAAUGUUCAAGCUUCACAGAUUGACCUACUCACAGUUAAAUAGCCACACUACAAAUCCCAGAUGGGGGCACGGCCAUCCUGGCCCAGAGGCACCACUCAGUGAUGUGCGCGAGGGCUCCUGGCUCCUCAGUGUCACAGGUGAGGGCUCCUGACUCAGCAUCGCAGGUGAAGGUUCCUGUCUCCUCAGUGUCAUAGGUGAGGGCUCCUGGCUCAGCAUCGCAGGUGAUGGCUCUUGAGUACCUGCUCCUCCUCCAGCAACUCCUCUUUUCUGGUGCACAGGCUGUGGUUCACACACACUGGCCCCAUUGGCUGGCUCCAUCCCCGCCAGGGAGAGAUCACAGUCCUUGAGUGACCACUGCCUGGCAUUGCAGCACUGAGAGUUCAGUGACAGCUGGUGACUAGACAGGAUGACCUGCUUCCCUGUGGCAUGGGUGCCCAGGAGGCCUGGCCAUGCCUGCAUGGCUGUUCGUCACCCCAGGCUCCUGCCUGAAGCCUCAAUGAUCUCCCCAUGAAGUGCAGAGAAACCAUACAUUUGGCCUUUGCUGUCCAGACUCUUCACACUCAGGUGCUUCCAUCUCUAGCUCAGGGGCUUCCAGAGGAACCCACAAGAUCCUGGGAGUAGCUGUGCCCCCUGCUGGGCGAGGGGUGCUGGCCAACUGCUGGGGGCUCUGCCAGGUCUUCACACCCAGCACGUCCAGCUGCCUCUGUCCGUUCCCCAUGCAGACCCUGCCUCCUGUUUCCCCCCAUAAAAUCUGUCCAAAUUGAACCCAGCAGACUCCCCUCUCUCUCUGUCUAUAUCUGCAUCAUACCUAGAUCAUGUCUGUGUAUGGAUGUCUCUAGAGUAUUUUCAUUUUAUGUCUUUGUUUAAAUCUAAAUAUAUAAAUAUUUUAGAUAGAAACAGAUAUAAAUUAUUUUACAUCUAUGUAAAUAUAUUGAUUAAAAUGAUUUUAUCAUCUCUUUCUGUUAAUUAAAAUUCCUGAUCAGCAGUGAUCCCUGAGUACCUCAUACGUGUCUGCACGUGUGAAUGUUUGAACACAUGGACACUGCAUGUGUGUGCCGCAGGAAUGACUGUGUUUGCAUGUCUGUACACAUGUUUCACACGUGUCCAUAGCUCCGUGGAUCUCUCCAGUUAGGCAUUUGGCCCUUCCUCACACUCUUCAUCCUAUUUCAUUUAUUUUCUGCCCCAUUACUUUACUGGUUUUUAUUUUUGAAAAGCGUUUUAAAGAUUAUCUGCUUGUUAAACUCAAUGAAUCUUCCAGCCCUUCUUUUACUUGACUGUUCUACAGCAUUCACUAGUAUUUCUGUAUUUUUUUUUCCUGAUU
Molecule: long non-coding RNA, 2783 nt
Organism: Cynocephalus volans (Philippine flying lemur)
Lineage: Eukaryota; Metazoa; Chordata; Mammalia; Dermoptera; Cynocephalidae
Exons: 3
Source: RefSeq, a predicted model, not a curated record